This 269-nucleotide ribosomal RNA is filed under the name uncultured anaerobic ammonium-oxidizing bacterium. RNAcentral describes it as "partial 16S ribosomal RNA". It matches the Rfam family "Bacterial small subunit ribosomal RNA", at positions 565 to 832 of the family's 1533-position model. The record is from RNAcentral.
GAGCACGUAGGUGGGUUUGUAAGUCGGAUGUGAAAUCUCCAGGCUCAACCUGGAGGGGUCAUUCGAUACUGCAUGACUAGAGUUCGGUAGGGGAGUGUGGAAUUCCUGGUGGAGCGGUGAAAUGCGCAGAUAUCAGGAGGAACACCCGUAGCGAAGGCGGCACUCUGGGCCGAUACUGACACUGAGUGAGCGAAAGCGUGGGGAGCGAACAGGAUUAGAUACCCUGGUAGUCCACGCCGUAAACGUUGGGCACUAAGUAGAGGGGUUUU